Orcinus orca (killer whale) is the source of this 157-nucleotide long non-coding RNA. RefSeq lists it as uncharacterized. NCBI's taxonomy places the organism in Eukaryota, Metazoa, Chordata, Mammalia, Artiodactyla, Delphinidae. The transcript has 4 exons. The record is from RefSeq and is a predicted model, not a curated record.
AAAGAAGAUUCAGAGACCAAGAGAGGAGCUCACAGAUAUACCAGGAUGAGUCUGGGUUAGCUGCGUCAUAGGGAAACUUGUGAUUACAUUGAGUCCACCUGGAUACAUCAGGACACUCUCCCCGUCUCAAGAUUUCGCUGAUGAUACUGACUGGGGG